CCCUCAGAAGGUCUGGGCUGCAUGCGUGCUACAAUGGUGCAUUCAACGAGUUUUCCUGCCCUGAAAAGGUUGGGUAAUCUUCAAAGUGCAUCUUAGUUGGGAUAGAGGAUUGUAAUUAUUCCUCUUCAACAAGGAAUCUCUCGUAAACGCAAGUCAUCAGCUUGCGUUGAAUACGUCCCUGCUUUUUGUACACACCGCCCGUCGCUCCUACCGAUAGGAUAAUACGGUGAACUUGAUGGAUACUUCAUAUUCAAGUACAAGUCACGUAAAUCUUAUUAUUUAGAGGAAGGACAAGUCGUAACA
Molecule: ribosomal RNA, 303 nt
Filed under: uncultured eukaryote
Lineage: Eukaryota
Description: partial 18S ribosomal RNA
Rfam family: Eukaryotic small subunit ribosomal RNA
Source: RNAcentral